Non-coding RNA from Momordica charantia (bitter melon), 1577 nucleotides. NCBI's taxonomy places the organism in Eukaryota, Viridiplantae, Streptophyta, Magnoliopsida, Cucurbitales, Cucurbitaceae. The record is from RefSeq and is a predicted model, not a curated record.
AAUUUUUCCUUCUCUAAAAAGAGUCCCACCACUCUAUUCCAAGCCUUGAGAAUAGCUAGGAAGAUCUCUUGGUKGUYCUUCAUUGGAGCUAUUUGAAGAUUUUUGAAAAGCUACAAAGCGGUGAUGAUGGUCUAAUGGAGUCCAGUGCUGGUUCCAGCAAAGGUUCUAAGAAGUCUAGCAUGAGUGAUGAAGAUUGGGAGGAAAUGGAUUUGAGAGCUGCAAGCGCAAUACGAACAUGUUUGAAUAAGAAUAUUCAUGCGAAUGUGCAUGGAAUUCGACAGCUAAAGAACUUUGGGAGAAGCUCGAAGCGUUGUAUCAGGCAAAGGGCAUCUCAAAUCGGCUGUACCUGAAGGAGCAGUUUCACACGCUGCGAAUAGAGGAAGGUACGAAAGUUUCAGAUCAUCUGAGUAAUCUCAAUAGCAUCAUCUUUGAGCUGGAGGUGAUCGAAGUGAAGAUAGAUGACGGAGAUAAAGCUCUCAGGCUCAUCUUAUCACUUCCACCUUCUUAUGAACACAUGAAACCGAUCUUGAUGUAUGAGAAUGAUACUUUGAAUUUUACUGAGGUUACUAGUAAACUAUUGUCAGAGGAAAGAAGGCCGAAUAGUGAAGGGCGUACUUCACAUGAAGAUUCAGCACUGGUAGCUAGCAAUUGGAAGAAGAAGAAUGACUCCGUACAAAAGAAAGCUUGUUGCUGGGGAUGCGGACAGUCUGGACACAUGAAGAAAGAUUGUCCCAACAAAGCCAGUUCGUCAAAGGGCUCUAGGCGGGAUGCUGACAGUGUUUCUCUCAUCAGGGGAGACGAUGAUCAGUUCCUUUGAAGAGAGAGAGCAUUCAUCCUCAUGGUAUGUCCGCUUUACCAUAAUAGAGGAUGUGAUGUUAGCGGUUCCACAAGUUUACACAUGGGCAUUGGCUUGGCGGUUAUGCAAGGUGUGUGUGGUGGAAGUUAUGUCGAUGGUUGAAGAACUUCCAAAUGAGCCAAGUAGGUGGAAGUUGCACCAUAAAUCUGAGCAGGAUUUAUCGACAUGUGACGAGGAAGAAAAAUCCUUGAAGGCGACAUUCCAAGUGAUCUACUUUUAUGGUGGAGUAGGCUAUAGUUCUCUGAAUUGUGAAUUAUGAUUGUCAGUGAAGACAAUGAGUGCAGUAGAAGCUGUGAACUUUUUUUUCAAUAUCUUGCCAAGGUGGAAUUUGUUGGGUUUUGGCAAAAUAUUGGAAUUGAAGUUGUCCCACAUUGGAAGAAUACAAGGAUGGUCUCCAUGUGCUAGAAGUUGUCCCACAUCGGAAAAGUACAAGGAGUAGAUGUGUUCCAACUACUAUAAAAGGAGCUCAUGGGCUUGGGUUUUAAUCAUCCCAAUUGAAAUACUUUAAACCUGAUAUACUAGCUCUAGUUAACUGAGCGGUAUUUGCUUUGAAAGAGUGUUUUAUGUAAUUGGGAUCAGGGAUAGAAAUCUGUGUGAUUGUAAUAAUUUUUCACAUAGUGGAUUUUCCCUUGUGGGCCGUGGUUUUUUCUCCAGUUUGGAGUUUUUCCACGUUAAUUCUUGUAUAUCUUUAUUUUAUUGCUAUCUUUAAAUUUUUCAGUUA